UACGAAGGAUCCUAGCGUUGUCCGGAUUUACUGGGUUUAAAGGGUGCGUAGGCGGAUAAUUAAGUCAGUGGUGAAAGCCGACAGCUCAACUGUCGAAUUGCCAUUGAAACUGAUUAUCUCGAGUAUGGUUGAGGUGGUUGGAAUGUUGCAUGUAGCGGUGAAGUGCUUAGAUAUGCAACAGAACACCUAUUGCGAAGGCAGAUCACUAAGCCAUUACUGACGCUGAGGCACGAAAGCGUGGGGAUCAAACAGG
This 253-nucleotide ribosomal RNA is filed under the name uncultured bacterium. RNAcentral describes it as "partial 16S ribosomal RNA". It matches the Rfam family "Bacterial small subunit ribosomal RNA", at positions 524 to 776 of the family's 1533-position model. The record is from RNAcentral.